GUCCCAGUGAGGAUCUCAAGACCUACCGAUAGGAAGUGCCGUUUGACACUGUAAACAGCAGCUGCUUCUUUCUGCUGCAGGUGUCCAACCUUAGACCAUAACCUUUGUGGUUUGGUUAAUGCUGGAGCUCCCAUCUGCAGUUUUUUGAUUCAGCUGUGGUGCGUGAUUUAAAUCGGGUCUCUGAGGGAU
This 189-nucleotide small nucleolar RNA is filed under the name Setaria italica (foxtail millet). Its description in RNAcentral is "Small nucleolar RNA Z112". It matches the Rfam family "Small nucleolar RNA Z112". From Rfam's summary of the family: Z112 is a member of the C/D class of snoRNA which contain the C (UGAUGA) and D (CUGA) box motifs. Most of the members of the box C/D family function in directing site-specific 2'-O-methylation of substrate RNAs. Lineage: Eukaryota; Viridiplantae; Streptophyta; Magnoliopsida; Poales; Poaceae. The record is from Rfam by way of RNAcentral.